RNAcentral lists this unclassified non-coding RNA (1403 nucleotides) under Leishmania donovani. Its description in RNAcentral is "gene:LdHU3.07.1340(CDS-product:RNA_binding_protei n_putative)". Lineage: Eukaryota; Euglenozoa; Kinetoplastea; Trypanosomatida; Trypanosomatidae. The record is from RNAcentral.
CGUCCGCUGCAUAGCAGUUACAGCCUCUCCGCCCCCUCCAAAGAAGCGCUACGCCCCGUAGUCGCCACCGGGCCAUGGAGGAGUUCUACGGCAUGGAGGUCUUCGCCGGCAAGACGGCAAGGCCCAAUAUUUCGGCCGACCGCGUGCUGCACGUGACGCAGGUGGCGCUACCGCCGAACGCGUCGCACGCUAUCACGCUGCUCGUCAAGACGGAGGGCAAGUCGUUUGUGCUCGCGACACUGGACCCGCAGCAGGCACUCUUCCACAUGAGCGUGGACAUGCUCUUUAGCGGCAAGCAGAAGUUGGCUUUCACCUGCGAAGGUGCGGCUGGAGCCGUGCACAUCAUCGGGUACACACAGCUCGCGGAGGAGGAGGAAGCCAUAGACGACGAGGAUGACGAUGAUAUGAUGGACGACGAGGACGUCGCGUAACGUUGAGUUGGGAAAGAAGGCGCGGUAGAGCAUGCGUGUACGUGUGCCUGCUUGUAAGCCCCUGUGAGAUUACGUCUCCUUGGCUGCCAUAUGCGAUGGACGUGGUGCCACCAGUGAUGAACGCCACACCACAUCCGUGCGUGCGUGCGCCGCUGAUUUCGUUGAAAAGCCCGCGCAUCUCCGGCGUGCGUGUAUGUGACGCUAAAACGGGUCAUUGCCCUGCCAGGGUGGGGCCGGCAGUGGAUGAGACGCGUCGCUGCCUGCGCGACGGCGGCACGUGUCUAGGUUGGGGGAGGGAGGAGGCGACACAUUGGGAAGCCGGACCAUCGGGUGCCUCAUUCCUCACUGCCAUACAACGUCUUUCCUUUCUCUGUUCACCGUCAUGGCAAACUCGGCACAGGCGCUCUGCACGGACUCCUCACUAAUUGCAGAAGUACAGGGGCGCGCAGUUGAUGGAACCCUUCGCCUCAGCAAGGAACCCCCCCCCCCCCCCCCCCCCAUCCACACACACACACACAGAAAAGAAAUUAGAUGCAGAAGAGGGAAGGUAGGAGCGUGCCGACACGAUGCCUGCUGGUGUGCGGCGCUGCUACUCGCCUGCUGCUCGACGAUGUACGUGGGCGGAGAUCGUUGGCGCAUGCGCGUCCUUCUUGGACAGCCCCGCUACCGCUCACCUCUGCUCCUCCGCCCCCUCGGCUACGUGGCCACCCCACGGCGGUGCGUGCGCGUAGCGGCGCGCCGCCUUUGACUUUGCUCGGAUCGACGUACUCUAUACCAUGUCUUCGCGCUAAAAGGCGGUUGCGGUGUACGCCAUGCACCACGCCUGCCUUCUCUCAUGCACUUGCCACCGCCCUCCCGCCCCUCCUCCCUUCUUCUGCGCGACCAUCCCGUGAACUGCCCGAUGGGGCUCACCCAAACCCCCUCGCUUUCCCUCCCUCCUCCCCCCUCUCCGCCGUCCACGCGCAUGCGCAG